This 428-nucleotide ribosomal RNA is filed under the name uncultured prokaryote. RNAcentral describes it as "bacterial SSU rRNA". It matches the Rfam family "Bacterial small subunit ribosomal RNA", at positions 355 to 774 of the family's 1533-position model. The record is from RNAcentral.
UGAGGAAUUUUGCGCAAUGGGAGCAAUCCUGACGCAGCAACGCCGCGUGGGUGAUGAAGGCCUUCGGGUCGUAAAGCCCUGUCAGGUGGGAAGAAUGUCCCGGGACUGAACAGGUUCCGGGAGUGACGGUACCACCAGAGGAAGCACCGGCUAACUCCGUGCCAGCAGCCGCGGUAAUACGGAGGGUGCAAGCGUUCUUCGGAAUUACUGGGCGUAAAGCGCGGGUAGGCGGUCCUGCAAGUCUGAGGUGAAAGCCCCGGGCUUAACCCGGGAAGUGCAUUGGAAACUGGGGGACUUGAGUACUGGGGAGGAUGGGGGAAUUCCCGGUGUAGAGGUGAAAUUCGUAGAGAUCGGGAGGAAUAUCAGUGGCGAAGGCGCCCAUCUGGACGGUAACUGACGCUGAGACGCGAAAGCGUGGGGAGCAAACA